This 430-nucleotide ribosomal RNA is filed under the name Fusobacteriota bacterium. RNAcentral describes it as "Fusobacteria bacterium partial 16S ribosomal RNA". It matches the Rfam family "Bacterial small subunit ribosomal RNA", at positions 355 to 776 of the family's 1533-position model. Lineage: Bacteria; Fusobacteriati; Fusobacteriota. The record is from RNAcentral.
UGGGGAAUUUUGCGCAAUGGGGGAAACCCUGACGCAGCAACGCCGCGUGAGUGAUGAAGGCCUUCGGGUCGUAAAGCUCUGUCAGAGGGAAAGAAGUGUAGGGCGGCUAAUACCCGUUUUACUUGACGGUACCCUCAAAGGAAGCACCGGCUAACUCCGUGCCAGCAGCCGCGGUAAUACGGAGGGUGCGAGCGUUGUUCGGAAUUAUUGGGCGUAAAGCGCGUGUAGGCGGUCUUUUAAGUCUGAUGUGAAAGCCCCGGGCUCAACCUGGGAAGUGCAUUGGAAACUGGGAGACUUGAAUACGGGAGAGGGUAGUGGAAUUCCUGGUGUAGGAGUGAAAUCCGUAGAUAUCAGGAGGAACACCGGUGGCGAAGGCGGCUGCCUGGACCGAUAUUGACGCUGAGACGCGAAAGCGUGGGGAGCAAACAGG